AAGGAAUAACACAAGAAUGGCCUCAGUUUGGAACCGCAGCACCAUAUCCACCACCGGAUUCACCACCCGAGGAGGGUGGCACCACCGAUAAUUAGGGGAGUUUUCGUACCCUUUACCUUCAUUCAAUUGGGACAUUGAAUACUUUAAGUUUGGGGGUAUUGGGUUGUAGUUAGUAUUUUUAGUUUUGCGUGAUUAGUUUAAUUUAGUUUUGCAUAUAGUUUUACAUGAUUCAUAUAGUUUUUCAAGAUUAGUAAUUUUUAUGUGCAUGUUUAGAUUACAUUUUAGCAUAUAGUUGCAUGUUUAUAAUUGCAUACCUCACAGUUCUUACCGUUUAGAAAAAUUUUGUCUAGCCAAUGAUGAGAGUGAAGUUUUUAAAUGAUUUCUGAAUAUUUUGGAUAACAUGAGCUGAGAUGUAACGUUUUAUAUAAUUAAAUUCAUAAUAUUGUUUAAAUGCUUUCGGUUUGCACAAAUGUGUUCACAAGCACUUGGAGGUAUAAGAAGUACGUUGUGCCUUGCGCGAUAGACAAACGUAGUCUUAAAAAGAGAAAUAUGUGAAAAGUGACUUUUGGACUGUAUAAAAUAUUGAUUUUUAAACUUUGGGAAAACAUGGAUAUCUGUGUAUAAAAAAAAGAAGAAAAAGAAAGAAAGAAAAGUAGAAAUAACAUGGCUAAGUCUUAUUUUGGGGCCCUGGCUACUUAAGUAAGUACGCCCGAGGGGAUUGUCUCUACACCUAGCGCCCUAAGGUCUUUCAUGGUCUGGGAGUCGUUGGUCAAAAGCUCGCUAAGGGGUAGCAGUGUGCCUAAUGGAG
RNAcentral lists this long non-coding RNA (808 nucleotides) under Panax ginseng (ginseng). RNAcentral's name for it is "long non-coding RNA (PGIN_LNC013476)". Lineage: Eukaryota; Viridiplantae; Streptophyta; Magnoliopsida; Apiales; Araliaceae. The record is from RNAcentral.